UGCAGUCGAGCGGCAGCACGGGUACUUGUACCUGGUGGCGAGCGGCGGACGGGUGAGUAAUGCCUAGGAAUCUGCCUGGUAGUGGGGGAUAACGCUCGGAAACGGACGCUAAUACCGCAUACGUCCUACGGGAGAAAGCAGGGGACCUUCGGGCCUUGCGCUAUCAGAUGAGCCUAGGUCGGAUUAGCUAGUUGGUGAGGUAAUGGCUCACCAAGGCGACGAUCCGUAACUGGUCUGAGAGGAUGAUCAGUCACACUGGAACUGAGACACGGUCCAGACUCCUACGGGAGGCAGCAGUGGGGAAUAUUGGACAAUGGGCGAAAGCCUGAUCCAGCCAUGCCGCGUGUGUGAAGAAGGUCUUCGGAUUGUAAAGCACUUUAAGUUGGGAGGAAGGGCAGUUACCUAAUACGUAUCUGUUUUGACGUUACCGACAGAAUAAGCACCGGCUAACUCUGUGCCAGCAGCCGCGGUAAUACAGAGGGUGCAAGCGUUAAUCGG
Molecule: ribosomal RNA, 498 nt
Filed under: Pseudomonas sp.
Lineage: Bacteria; Pseudomonadati; Pseudomonadota; Gammaproteobacteria; Pseudomonadales; Pseudomonadaceae
Description: bacterial SSU rRNA
Rfam family: Bacterial small subunit ribosomal RNA
Source: RNAcentral